UCCCUGGAGGACUAGUGGUUAGGCCACAGUUCUUUCACUGAUGUGGCCCGGGUUCGAUUCCCAGCCAGGAAA
Molecule: non-coding RNA, 72 nt
Organism: Pangasianodon gigas (Mekong giant catfish)
Lineage: Eukaryota; Metazoa; Chordata; Actinopteri; Siluriformes; Pangasiidae
Source: the annotation of a GenBank genome assembly